CUUAACACAUGCAAGUCGAACGGAAAGGCCCUGCUUUUGUGGGGUGCUCGAGUGGCGAACGGGUGAGUAACACGUGAGUAACCUGCCCUUGACUUUGGGAUAACUUCAGGAAACUGGGGCUAAUACCGGAUAGGAGCUCCUGCUGCAUGGUGGGGGUUGGAAAGUUUCGGCGGUUGGGGAUGGACUCGCGGCUUAUCAGCUUGUUGGUGGGGUAGUGGCUUACCAAGGCUUUGACGGGUAGCCGGCCUGAGAGGGUGACCGGCCACAUUGGGACUGAGAUACGGCCCAGACUCCUACGGGAGGCAGCAGUGGGGAAUAUUGCACAAUGGGCGGAAGCCUGAUGCAGCAACGCCGCGUGCGGGAUGACGGCCUUCGGGUUGUAAACCGCUUUCGCCUGUGACGAAGCGUGAGUGACGGUAAUGGGUAAAGAAGCACCGGCUAACUACGUGCCAGCAGCCGCGGUGAUACGUAGGGUGCGAGCGUUGUCCGGAUUUAUUGGGCGUAAAGGGCUCGUAGGUGGUUGAUCGCGUCGGAAGUGUAGUCUUGGGGCUUAACCCUGAGCGUGCUUUCGAUACGGGUUGACUUGAGGAAGGUAGGGGAGGAUGGAAUUCCUGGUGGAGCGGUGGAAUGCGCAGAUAUCAGGAGGAACACCAGUGGCGAAGGCGGUUCUCUGGGCCUUUCCUGACGCUGAGGAGCGAAAGCGUGGGGAGCGAACAGGCUUAGAUACCCUGGUAGUCCACGCUGUAAACGGUGGGUACUAGGUGUGGGGUCCAUUCCACGGGUUCCGUGCCGUAGCUAACGCUUUAAGUACCCCGCCUGGGGAGUACGGCCGCAAGGCUAAAACUCAAAGGAAUUGACGGGGCCCCGCACAAGCGGCGGAGCAUGCGGAUUAAUUCGAUGCAACGCGUAGAACCUUACCUGGGUUUGACAUGGAUCGGGAGUGCUCAGAGAUGGGUGUGCCUCUUUUGGGGUCGGUUCACAGGUGGUGCAUGGCUGUCGUCAGCUCGUGUCGUGAGAUGUUGGGUUAAGUCCCGCAACGAGCGCAACCCUUGUUCACUGUUGCCAGCACGUUAUGGUGGGGACUCAGUGGAGACCGCCGGGGUCAACUCGGAGGAAGGUGGGGAUGACGUCAAGUCAUCAUGCCCCUUAUGUCCAGGGCUUCACGCAUGCUACAAUGGCUGGUACAGAGAGUGGCGAGCCUGUGAGGGUGAGCGAAUCUCGGAAAGCCGGUCUCAGUUCGGAUUGGGGUCUGCAACUCGACCUCAUGAAGUCGGAGUCGCUAGUAAUCGCAGAUCAGCAACGCUGCGGUGAAUACGUUCCCGGGGCUUGUACACACCGCCCGUCAAGUCAUGAAAGUUGGUAACACCCGAAGCCGGUGGCCUAACCGUUGUGGGGGAGCCGUCGAAGGUGGGACUGGUGAUUAGGACUAAGAU
Molecule: ribosomal RNA, 1433 nt
Filed under: uncultured organism
Description: partial small subunit ribosomal RNA
Rfam family: Bacterial small subunit ribosomal RNA
Source: RNAcentral